RNAcentral lists this ribosomal RNA (459 nucleotides) under uncultured bacterium. RNAcentral describes it as "partial 16S ribosomal RNA". It matches the Rfam family "Bacterial small subunit ribosomal RNA", at positions 338 to 795 of the family's 1533-position model. The record is from RNAcentral.
CCUACGGGUGGCAGCAGUGAGGAAUAUUGGUCAAUGGGCGCGAGCCUGAACCAGCCAAGUCGCGUGAGGGAAGACGGUCCUAUGGAUUGUAAACCUCGUUUGUCGGGGAGCAAAAGACGCCACGCGUGGCGUUCCGCGAGUACCCGAAGAAAAAGCAUCGGCUAACCCCGUGCCAGCAGCCGCGGUAAUACGGAGGAUGCGAGCGUUAUCCGGAUUUAUUGGGUUUAAAGGGUGCGCAGGCGGAAGAUCAAGUCAGCGGUAAAAUUGAGAGGCUCAACCUCUUCGAGCCGUUGAAACUGGUUUUCUUGAGUGGGUGAGAAGUAUGCGGAAUGCGUGGUGUAGCGGUGAACUGCAUAGAUAUCACGCAGAACUCCGAUUGCGAAGGCAGCAUACCGGCGCUCAACUGACGCUCAUGCACGAAAGUGUGGGUAUCGAACAGGAUUAGAUACCCCGGUAGUC